Molecule: long non-coding RNA, 1703 nt
Filed under: Patiria miniata (bat star)
Lineage: Eukaryota; Metazoa; Echinodermata; Asteroidea; Valvatida; Asterinidae
Description: uncharacterized LOC119721066
Source: RNAcentral
CGAGGCUGAAUAAAAUACCGUUGCUGUCUCCAACUGAAAGUAUAUGCAUCCGGUCUGACUAAAAAGGAGUGACGAAAAGGAAAUAUUUACAAUCACCAUGCAUCAGGAAAUGACCGGCUUCAAUAUAUUCCUGGAUUAGAGCUGACAACUUUCCAGAGCAGGCAGUGACUGUGUGUAAUAAGUGUCAUGGGAUGGAAUGGUGAUGAUUAUUACGACAAAUGGGAUUCUUUUGGAGGUCAAAGCCCAGCUAUGUACUACCUAAACUACGUUCUACUUAUAAGCUGCCUCGUCAUCCUCACGUGUGCCUUAUAUUUCGUAUUUCGAGAGUGUUGCCAGAGCAACCAGAGUGAUGACGAAACGGAAGCAAUCAUUAUGAUGCAGCCGACAGCACAGGUCCCAAGCUACACAGAGCUGCCAUACGAUAGGGACCAGUCUCAUAACCACCGUAUCGUGCAUGAGUAUAACCGCGAGUCGCAGGUUCCCUUGUCAACAGGCUCACAAGUGGCUCCACACCACUACUACGCAUACGAUCAUAAACAUCUUGCACACUACUACAUGUAUCCGACCCCUUGCAACAUAGCGGGAAGCCCGAGUGCAUCUGCGACUGCGUCUGCGCCUGCGACUGCGCGUUUUGUGCAACGUAACUAUUGUGACUUCCAGCCACCACGCGAAGACGAUCGACCACCUCCGUACGCUCCAAACCACUAACGGGGUAGAUGGGUGCAUGAUUGGGAAAUGAAAGGGACCGAGCGUUUGUAAAGUACAAUCAGUGAAUCUAAUGGAGAUUUGAUUUCGCUUAAGACAUCUUUGAUUUUUCUAAAAGGCUUAUUAUCGACAGACAUGCAGGCUAAUAUACGGUAGCCUGUGGCUAACAAUUCAAACUGCUUUUUAUGCGCUACAAUAUUCCCUCAGAAAAUCAAGACAGAAGCUGUGUCAUGCUAAAAGGUCAAUGAUAUAUAAUUAGUAAAAUGUUGCUAUAAUUUUCAAAACACGGUAGUUCAGAUUAAGGGCAAAGCAAUAGGUUUGUGAUGAGUUGAAUGUAAAGUAGCUAAUUCCUUUCGACAUCCUUUAGAUUUUGGGUGCUGCUGUAUGAGUUGUUGAUAGGGCCUACCAAAAAACCGACGACAAAACAUGAAAUGGCAUUGUCGUUUAAAAGUGGAAAUUCUAUUAUCACCAUGUAGUGAACUUUUUAAUAAUAAUAACAUUUGACAUUUAAUAACAUUUGACAUUUAAGAAAAUAGUGUAGGUUUUCCCGGUAACUUUAAAAUUUGUAUCCUUAAAAUUCCAGAAUGUGAAUAGAUACUUUGUUGGGCUGCAUUGUUAAAUCCGAUUUCAAAUUUACACCAAUAGAUUUCAUAUUUGGUCAAGUGUAAUUGUCAAAUGCAGCAUUCUGCGGACUCGUCCAACUUUCGAGAAAUUCGUCUCAUGUUGAGACUGGCGUUGAAUUGAAAAAUCGAGUUCGCUUUUAUUGGUCAUUCAUAUAUUCAGUAACUUUCCAUGGAAUUUAAUGUUAAUUUUUGAGUGUACAUCACUACCUGUGUGAUUUUAGCUUUGGCACAAAAUUCUUGGCUCAUAAUUAGCUAUGGUACUUAGUAACUUGCAUCGUCACGCUAUGAAUAAUUUUCUUGGACACAAAUUUCGUUUCAAAUCUACCAAUUUUGUUUCAAAAUCCACAAUAUCCGCAGGUCGUGUACAUUCCAAAG